UAAACCAGCUGAUGUGGAAUUCCUGGGU
This 28-nucleotide non-coding RNA is filed under the name Homo sapiens (human). Lineage: Eukaryota; Metazoa; Chordata; Mammalia; Primates; Hominidae. The record is from RNAcentral.